This 734-nucleotide long non-coding RNA is filed under the name Numida meleagris (helmeted guineafowl). Its description in RNAcentral is "lncRNA (ENSNMEG00000018148.1)". The record is from RNAcentral. Lineage: Eukaryota; Metazoa; Chordata; Aves; Galliformes; Numididae.
GUUUAAAUAUAUGGCUGUCAGUGAGCUGCCCCUCGCUUAUCAUCCAUAAGCCCACCUUUCAGAAAGAUCUACCUUUUUGCCGUGUCUGAAGUCAGUAGGAGUUAGCCUUGUCAUCCUUUAUGAGAGCCCCAUCAUUGACUAUAACCCCAUGGUUGACUGCUGUGUUAUGCAGAACGAGGCAGGCUGCAAGGAUGUCAGAUGUGGUAUCGAGUCUGUGCUUUGACAAUUGGAAAAGACACCGAGAAUGAGAUUUCACAAUCCCAGAAGACCUUCGAGUGAUCAAUGAAUUCUGAGUAAGUGAACUAUUUUCCAACAAAUUCUUCUGCCACAGAACUGCAGGUUAAGUCCCGUGCUGCACCAUCAUCCAACCUGUUGCAAGUCUGGAGCUGGUUGUGGUUCACGUCCCAGGUGUGGAAGCCAUCCUUGCAAGGCAGUGCCAGGCUCAGUGUGCCCGUCUCUCUAAGCCUGGGGGAUCAGCCUGGCUCAGCUGCUGGCAGUGUGAGCAGAAGGACUUUUCCUUCUCCUGUGUACCCUAUUAUAUGAAGUAGUUUCUCUGGAGAAAUGAAUUGAAACUAGAUUUCCUCAAGCCCAUGUCCCAGAACGGUCAGCUGCCUGGUGGCCUGUAUAUUGUGGUCUUAAAAAACAGCAAGAACGACAACAAAAAGCAACAACGUAGGCUGAAUUUCAAGAGAAUUUUCACUGCUACUUUGCUGAGAAAGAACUGUCUUAUGUAG